This 253-nucleotide ribosomal RNA is filed under the name uncultured bacterium. RNAcentral's name for it is "partial 16S ribosomal RNA". It matches the Rfam family "Bacterial small subunit ribosomal RNA", at positions 524 to 776 of the family's 1533-position model. The record is from RNAcentral.
UACGUAGGGGGCAAGCGUUGUCCGGAUUUAUUGGGCGUAAAGCGCACGUAGGCGGAUCGCUAAGUCAGGGGUGAAAUCCUGGAGCUCAACUCCAGAACUGCCUUUGAUACUGGCAAUCUCGAGUCCGGGAGAGGUGAGUGGAACUGCGAGUGUAGAGGUGAAAUUCGUAGAUAUUCGCAAGAACACCAGUGGCGAAGGCGGCUCACUGGCCCGGUACUGACGCUGAGGUGCGAAAGCGUGGGGAGCAAACAGG